Molecule: ribosomal RNA, 245 nt
Filed under: uncultured Treponema sp.
Lineage: Bacteria; Pseudomonadati; Spirochaetota; Spirochaetia; Treponematales; Treponemataceae
Description: partial 16S ribosomal RNA
Rfam family: Bacterial small subunit ribosomal RNA
Source: RNAcentral
CACGUAAGUUGCGAGCGUUGUUCGGAAUUAUUGGGCGUAAAGGGCAUGUAGGCGGUUCUGCAAGUCUGGUGUGAAAUUCCGGGGCUUAACCCCGGAACUGCGUUGGAAACUGCGGAACUGGAGUCACUGAGGUGCAGGCAGAAUUCCAGGUGUAGGGGUGAAAUCUGUAGAUAUCUGGAAGAAUACCAAUGGCGAAGGCAGCCUGCAAGCAGAUGACUGACGCUGAGGUGCGAAGGUGCGGGGAG